RNAcentral lists this non-coding RNA (22 nucleotides) under Arabidopsis thaliana (thale cress). The record is from RNAcentral. Lineage: Eukaryota; Viridiplantae; Streptophyta; Magnoliopsida; Brassicales; Brassicaceae.
UGAAAUUGGCUUCAGCGUUGGU